RNAcentral lists this ribosomal RNA (458 nucleotides) under uncultured Gammaproteobacteria bacterium. RNAcentral describes it as "bacterial SSU rRNA". It matches the Rfam family "Bacterial small subunit ribosomal RNA", at positions 410 to 860 of the family's 1533-position model. Lineage: Bacteria; Pseudomonadati; Pseudomonadota; Gammaproteobacteria. The record is from RNAcentral.
GAAGGCCUUCGGGUUGUAAAGCACUUUAAGCAGGGAGAAAAAGUUGUAAGUUAAUACCUUACAACCGUGAUGUUACCUGCAGAAUAAGCACCGGCUAAUUCCGUGCCAGCAGCCGCGGUAAUUCGGAAGGUGCAAGCGUUAAUCGGAAUUACUGGGCGUAAAGCGCGCGUAGGUGGUUUGUUAAGUUGGAUGUGAAAGCCCUGGGCUCAACCUAGGAACUGCAUCCAAAACUAACUCACUAGAGUACGAUAGAGGGAGGUAGAAUUCAUAGUGUAGCGGUGGAAUGCGUAGAUAUUAUGAAGAAUACCGGUGGCGAAGGCGGCCUCCUGGAUCUGUACUGACACUGAGGUGCGAAAACGUGGGUAGCGAACAGGAUUAGAUACCCUGGUAGUCCACGCCGUAAACGAUGACAACUAGCUGUUGGGAGACAAUGUCUUUCAGUGGCGCAGCUAACGUUU